AGUGAACGCUGGCGGUAGGCCUAACACAUGCCAGUCGGACGGCAGCACAGUAAGAGCUUGCUCUUACGGGUGGCGAGUGGCGGACGGGUGAGGAAUACAUCGGAAUCUACUUUUUCGUGGGGGAUAACGUAGGGAAACUUACGCUAAUACCGCAUACGACCUACGGGUGAAAGCAGGGGAUCUUCGGACCUUGCGCGAUUGAAUGAGCCGAUGUCGGAUUAGCUAGCUGGCGGGGUAAAGGCCCACCAAGGCGACGAUCCGUAGCUGGUCUGAGAGGAUGAUCAGCCACACUGGAACUGAGACACGGUCCAGACUCCUACGGGAGGCAGCAGUGGGGAAUAUUGGACAAUGGGCGCAAGCCUGAUCCAGCCAUACCGCGUGGGUGAAGAAGGCCUUCGGGUUGUAAAGCCCUUUUGUUGGGAAAGAAAAGCAGCAGGUUAAUACCCCGCUGUUCUGACGGUACCCAAAGAAUAAGCACCGGCUAACUUCGUG
Molecule: ribosomal RNA, 492 nt
Filed under: uncultured bacterium
Lineage: Bacteria
Description: partial 16S ribosomal RNA
Rfam family: Bacterial small subunit ribosomal RNA
Source: RNAcentral